Molecule: ribosomal RNA, 391 nt
Filed under: uncultured bacterium
Lineage: Bacteria
Description: partial 16S ribosomal RNA
Rfam family: Bacterial small subunit ribosomal RNA
Source: RNAcentral
UGGGGAAUUUUGGACAAUGGGCGAAAGCCUGAUCCAGCAAUGCCGCGUGUGUGAAGAAGGCCUUCGGGUUGUAAAGCACUUUUGUCCGGAAAGAAAUCCUUGGCUCUAAUACAGUCGGGGGAUGGCGGUACCGGAAGAAUAAGCACCGGCUAACUACGUGCCAGCAGCCGCGGUAAUACGUAGGGUGCAAGCGUUAAUCGGAAUUACUGGGCGUAAAGCGUGCGCAGGCGGUUUGCUAGGACCGAUGUGAAAUCCCCGGGCUCAACCUGGGAACUGCAUUGGUGACUGGGCAGGCUAGAGUAUGGCAGAGGGGGGUAGAAUUCCACGUGUAGCAAGUGAAAGUGCGUAGAGAUGUGGAGGAAUACCGAUGGCGAAGGCAGCCCCCUGGGCC